RNAcentral lists this ribosomal RNA (115 nucleotides) under Beta vulgaris subsp. vulgaris (sugar beet). Lineage: Eukaryota; Viridiplantae; Streptophyta; Magnoliopsida; Caryophyllales; Amaranthaceae. The record is from RNAcentral.
GGAUGCAAUCAUACUAGAACCAAUGCAUCGGAUCCCAUCAAAAUUCCGCAGUUCAGCGUGCUUGGGCGAUCCUUCUAAAAUUUGAAACUCUUAGGAAGUGCUCGUAUUACACCGC